UAGGGAAUCUUCCGCAAUGGGCGAAAGCCUGACGGAGCAACGCCGCGAGAGUGAUGAAGGUCUUCGGAUCGUAAAACUCUGUUAUUAGGGAAGAACAAAUGUGUAAGUAACUAUGCACGUCUUGACGGUACCUAAUCAGAAAGCCACGGCUAACUACGUGCCAGCAGCCGCGGUAAUACGUAGGUGGCAAGCGUUAUCCGGAAUUAUUGGGCGUAAAGCGCGCGUAGGCGGUUUUUUAAGUCUGAUGUGAAAGCCCACGGCUCAACCGUGGAGGGUCAUUGGAAACUGGAAAACUUGAGUGCAGAAGAGGAAAGUGGAAUUCCAUGUGUAGCGGUGAAAUGCGCAGAGAUAUGGAGGAACACCAGUGGCGAAGGCGACUUUCUGGUCUGUAACUGACGCUGAUGUGCGAAAGCGUGGGGAUCAAACAGG
Molecule: ribosomal RNA, 429 nt
Filed under: Actinomycetes bacterium
Lineage: Bacteria; Bacillati; Actinomycetota; Actinomycetes
Description: Actinobacteria bacterium partial 16S ribosomal RNA
Rfam family: Bacterial small subunit ribosomal RNA
Source: RNAcentral